AAUUUAUUAUUUCCUCUUUAUUAACUGCUCCUUGUUGUUCAGAUCAGGCCUCAACAUAAUGAUGUAGCAUUUGGGGGCAAAGAUGGAGCCCAGUAUCCCAGCACUGGAUGCCAAGAUGGAGAAGAUCUCCACAGCCACCAUGUAUUUCCCCUUGGUGCUCAGGUAGACGGGAACAAAGGAAAUCCAAACACUACAAAACAAGAACAUGCUGAAGGUGAUGAAUUUGGCCUCAUUGAAGCUCUCAGGCAAUUUCCUGGCAAAAAAGGCCACUACAAAGCUGAUAAUGGCCAAAAAGCCCAUGUAGCCCAGGACACAGUAAAACAGGGCGACUGACCCUUCGUUGCAGCCUAGAAUGAUUUCUCUCAUCAUUGAGUGCAUGUCAGAAUCAGGGAAUGGGGGAGAGGUUCCUAACCACACAGUGCAAAUGCCCGCUUGGAUAAGGGAACAAGAAAUCACAAUGGAGCUUGACAGGCUUUUCCCCACCCACUUCCUCAUUCUGGAUCCUGGUUUGGUGGCCACAAAGGCUAGAACCACCGUGAUCGUUUUGGCCAGAACACAAGAAACGGUCACUGUGAAAACAAGGCCAAAAGCCAUUUGUCGGAGCAGGCAGCUCACUCUUUCUGGAGGGCUGAGGAAGAUCAAUGGGCAGAGAAAGCAGAGCAGGAGGAAAGUGAGGAGAGUGUAGGUGAGGUCCCGAUUGUUUGCUCUGACAAUGGGUGUGUCCUGAUGUUUAAUGAAGAUGGCUAGGACCACCAUAGUGAUGAGAGAGAGAGAAAGAGCAAACAUUGCUAAGCUCAUCCACAGAGGCUCUUGAACAGAGAGGAAGCUGAUGGUCUUUGGAAUGCAUUGUGAUUGGUUCCCGUGUGGAUAGUGGUCCUUUGGGCAUGCAACACAGUCAACCAUGUCUGGAAAGAAAAUAAUACAUUCACAUUUUGGAUGUGUUGGAGAGCAACUACUAAUACUGCGAGUAUGGAACUCAUAAUGUUAAAUGAGAGUUAUUACAAUUAUUUCCAGGGUAACCAGAUUCAAAGUGAUGCAUCAGAAUCCCACCUCAGAACAUAGUUGUCAACGUUUCCCUUUUUUAAAGGGAAAUUCCCUUAUUCCAAAUAGGAUUCCUCGCAAGAAAAGGGAAAAAUUGACAGCUAUGCCUCAGAACUUUUGUUGGGUUAUGUGGGGUGUGCUGUGAUGGCUUGCUAACUCCACAUAAACCACUUUUUUUUUUGUUCAGAACAGGUACUGUCCAUGACCUUUUUGCACAGGGGUUCCAUUCCCAGCCCCGUUCCACCCCCACACCCUCUGCCGACCCCAUUCCUCCCCACCCUGGUGUGCCAUCGCGCAUCAAUCAUUCGCAUGAUUAUUUGCUAUUGCCUGAACCAAGACAGGUGUCUCCUACCAAGUCAUAUCACUGGUGCAUUUAUUUCAAAAUUGCUUCCUGUAUUUUAACCUGUGACAAAGAUUACAUGAUGAUGACAAACCAAUUCUUUUUAGGAGUGGGUCCCUAAUCCUUUAUGGGGUCUAUCUGCCAACAGGUAUGGAGGAGAAAUUUGGUUUUUAUUCCACUUGAAUGAGAAAGAUAUCUACAGUCAAUCUCACUCUUUGAAUCAUUACACUGGUCAACAACAAAUUUGUUGUCUGCGUUUUUUCAGUUGAUUUAGGAUGAAUGUGAUGCGCUGAAUCCAAAAAUCACAUUGGUUUUGCUCAAUCAGGUCAAGUUUUUGAGCUAUGGCCACAUGUCAUUUUUUAUGUUUUUGUUCACAUGUACGCUUGUGUGGAGCAUUUUAGAAGUUGGUGGGGGUAAAAUGCCAUGUCGAAUAAUUCUUUUGAUUGGAAAUGAUUAUUUUAAUGACAAGAAGUAUUCAGGUCCGAUAGUUCUGGGUGAUUAUGUUGAAAAGGGAUCAAUUUGAAGUCAUAAAACCUCGAAAUCUUCCAUAAAUUGGUGUGGCUCCAUAAAUUGGUGGGAUGAACAGAAAGAACCAGAGCAGCCUCAAGUAUCCUGAUUUUCAAGCAGCACGUCAUCCUGUAGCUCAUUGUGAUGAAAUUCCAGUGCCUAUCUUCGGAGAACUUCCUGACAUUGAUGAUGAAGAUGCCUCCAGUGUUGAAGGACAUGAAGAAGAAGUGGUUCUUCCACAUCCAUUUUCCCAAAAGGAGUUGAAUGAUCUAGUUCACGACCUCAGCUUGUCAAAGGACUCUGCCGAACUGUUGGCAUCCAGACUGAAGGGAAAAAACCUCCUCUCUGACAGUGCUCGCAUCAGCUUCCUCCGCAACAGGCAUCAAGAGUACCUCCGUUUUUUCUCGGAAGAGAAGGACUUGGUGUACUGUGCAGAUAUUGGGCAGCUUCUGCUCAAGCUUGGAGUGCCACAGUAUGAACCCAAAGAUUGGAGACUGUUCAUUGACAGCAGCAAGCAAUCACUGAAAUGUGUUCUGCUACACAACGGCAACCAGUUUGCCUCUAUACCCCUGGCUCACUCGAGUACACUGAAGGAGAACUAUGAAGCGGUGAAGUAUGUGCUGGAGAAAAUUGGUUAUGAUCAGCAUAAGUGGUUUAUUUGUGUUGACCUGAAGAUGGUGAACUUUUUGUUGGGGCAACAGUCUGGCUUCACCAAGUACCCAUGUUUUCUGUGCAUGUGGGAUAGUAGCGACCGUGCUCAGCAUUACACGAAGGACUGGCCUGUGCGGAAGGAAUUGGUGCCUUGCAAAGAAAGGAAUGUCAUCAACGACCCUCUGGUGGAGAGAGACAGAAUACUCUUCCCACCGCUGCACAUCAAGCUCGGCUUAAUCAAGCAGUUCACCAAGGCUCUGGACAAGGAUGGUGACUGCUUCACUUACUUGUGCCAGGCUUUUCCAGGAUUGACCAUGGAGAAGUUGAAAGCUGGCAUCUUUGACGGUCCUCAGAUCCGUCAGCUCAUCAGAGAUCCAGAGUUCAGAAAGUCAAUGAACGAAGUGGAACUGGAAGCGUGGAGGGCAUUUGUUCUGGUAGUGAAGAACUUUCUUGGCAACAAUAAGGCCAGAAACUACGCAGAACUUGUCAGCAACAUGCUGACUGCUAUCAGAAACCUGGGCUGCAACAUGAGCGUCAAGAUGCACUACCCAUUUUCACAUAUAGACCGAUUUCCUGAGAACCUGGGUUCAAUGAAUGACAAGCAGGGGGAGAGAUUCCAUCAGGACAUGAAAGAGAUGGAGACCAGGUAUCAGGGUCGCUGGGACGCAGUCAUGAUGGCUGACUACUGUUGGACUCUGAAGAGAGACCUCCCUGCCACUGAGCAUUCCAGGAGUUCCAAGAAACAGAAGUUCAAGCCCUGAAGUUUGAAAAAUGGUGAAGCAACAUGCAAUUUACGUGUACUUACCUUUAUCAAUGCCCACUAUUCAGUUUACAGUAAACCUGACCUGAUGGAGAGAAAUGGAUGCCAUUUCCUGAUACAGCAGUGCCAAAAUACGCUAAAUCAGUUGUAGAAAUCUAGACAACAUUCAAAAAGUAAAAAAUUGUUACCCAAUGUUAUAUAUCCUGUGUCUCUUACCCUUUUCAGAUGAAAUCUUGCCUUGAGGACAUGGAGCACAACCAUAGCAGCAGAAUGGCUCCCCCUCCUUCUUCUCCUUCCUGGAACCAGGAGGACAACUUGGGUUACACACAGAAAGGGGUGGCACCUGCCCAUUUAAAUAAACAGAUUAACCGUUUAGCACACAAAAGUAAGUAGCGCUUUUGGUUUCUUUUUUCUUCCAGCUGGCAGUAGGAAGACACCAAACUACUUAUUCGAAACACAGUGCCAGGUUACUCAUUUGGCUCUUCAUGUUGUUGUUUUUUAAAAUAAACAUAAAUAAUGUGGAAACUGACCAUGUUUGAGCCCCUUUCUGGCAUUCAGAAAGAAUGCAUGACAGCUGAAAUAGGGAAGGGGAUUGGGGCUUCAUCUUUGCCAGCCCUGCCCCCUUUUCUCCCCAUAUAUAAAGUAAUACCUUUUACACCUCCAAUUUUCCAAUUGCAGCAAUCAUGCUUUGUGAAGAUGACAGAAGCGUAGUGCCAAAAAUGAUCUACAAAUGUGGAGACCUUGUGGAGUGUGGUCUCACCAGCUCUGCCCAUAUUGUUCCCAUAGCUGUUCCACCAGUGAUCUCUGCAUACUAAGCAGAAAGCUCUGACAGGCUGAACACACUGAGAAGCCUCCCUGUGAUUUGGAAUUUUCUGUUCUUAUCUCAGUCCCCAAAUAUGAGAAAGGGGUUCAACCAAAUGUUCUUAGAAGCCCCCUUCACACUCCCUGCCAUGCAUUUUAUCUUAACAGAUGCAUUUUCAAGUGUAUUUUAUGCUACCAGGUGUAUUUUUCAAACCAUUUUGGUCCUUUUUUUGAGCUGAGACUAUACCAGAAGAUCGACAGAAAUGUGAAACCUGAAAGAUAAGCAAUGAUGUUCCUAUAUGUGUACUAGUCUGAGAGGUAUAAAUUUAGCCAGUUUCCAUAAAAUUGUAGACUCCUCCACCCUUGCCUACAGUUCCUUUUUCCUUAGGAUACAAGUGACUAGCAUUAGCACACUUGUUAUUAUUAUGAUUCUUUUAAAAGAACAUGAAUAAUGGUCUUAGGUGUCUCAGUAAAAUUAGGGCUGCCAUGUGUCCGGGAUUUCAAAGGCGGAAGCGGCGUCCUGGGGAAAGUUCUGGAGAGUGGAGGUUUGUUGUGGAUCUUUGGCAAGUAAAAGAAAAAAAUGUGGGAUUUUACUUCCUUCUCAAACACCAGCAUUUCAACUACAAGCAGCAAACCCCUUCUUCUUCCCAAGAGACUCAUGAAAAGCACUUGGAUGAAAAGAACCCCAAGUCAAAAGCCACAUGCCAUAUCCAGAUGCUGGACAAGAUUGGCAAAUGGUGAGAUCCUACAGUGGUUGGGCAUUGAUCUGAGCCAGCAAGAUCUUAUGUUGUGAUUCCUGCAUCGUGGACCACAUGAUUUGCAACUCUAAGAUUCUAUUACAGUGGUACCUUGGGUUACAUACGCUUCAGGUUACAUACGCUUCAGGUUACAGACUCCACUAACCCAGAAAUAGUGCUUCAGGUUAAGAACUUUGCUUCAGGAUGAGAACAGAAAUCAUGCUCUUGCGGCGUGGCAGCAGCAAGAGGCCCCAUUGGCUAAAGUGGUGCUUCAGGUUAAGAACAGUUUCAGGUUCAGAACGGAUCUCCAGAACGAAUUAAGUACUUAACCUGAGGUACCACUGUAUUCUUACACAGUGCAGAGAAAAAAAUGUUUAGAAUCUGGCUGGAAAGGCAGGUAUGUGCUGGACUGAUGAUCUGUACGUAGAAUAACAUUCUCUUUACCCAUCUCUCAUAGAUGUGGGAAUUAUGCCUCACCUGGUGAAAGCUUCUGUGCCACACCAUUCUGUUGUCAUCAAGGGUGAAUGGCUGGUCAGGUGUAGCCUCCACACCAACCCUUCCAACCUUCACCUUCAUGAAGGAGUUAUUUGGAAAAGUGACCAGGUUGGUGAUAUCAAAGCCAGCUUCUACUUCCCUGUUCUUACUAAAAGAUACUGUUUCCCCAGCAGAGUUGUUAAAGGAGACACUCCUAAGAAAGGGAUGGAGCUGCAUUGAAAGAAAAAGAGUAACUUUGAAGCAAUGCAAAUGUCUCUCCUUUUUCACAUUCAGGAUGCCUACAGACUGUCAACACAGGGAGGUAGUGCCAUGCAAAUAUAAUCUGUUUUCUGAGAAAUGGUUUGUAGGGCGAGCAUUCACAUAUUGAGCCAAUGAUCUCCAUUGUUUCCUAUGGGGAAAAUCCCAAUGCAUGACUGACCAUGCUUGGACAUCUACACACACACACACACACACACACACACACACACACACACACACUGCCCAACUAGCCUCAUAUAACCUUCAUUCUUGUGUCUAACAAAUACAUAAAGGGCUUAAUGUCGUUAGAAAAAGGUGUUCUGACAGACUUGGCCUAUGUCCCAGCCCCUUAUCUUGGGAAGAAAUGGGCAACAAAGCCUAUUGUUCUGCUCACUCUAUAUGUGAAUUUUGUGCGUGGGGAGUUCUGAACUGCUCCCUACAGCCACAUGGAAUUAAGAAGCCUGUUUAUUUCAGACAAGAAUGUAAUCUGAAACUACCAUUUUCUAUACCAAUAGAAAGAUUAGGAACUUUUACCAUUUUGUCUUCUACUUCUGCAACAUUUUUAUGAGUGUUGUGUUCCGAAAAACUGUUGAACUUUAAAGAGUUUUGUAAGCAAGCCAUGUUACGACCUGCUAAGCUUGUGAUCUAUUUUUGUGCUAGGAAAGUGGGAUUUUCUGGAAUUCACUGGAAAGGGCAUAUUUUAAGGUUUUACAUCCUGUAUUUCCAUGCUUCUGUUUGCUGCAUGUUUACCCAUGCACACAAAGGAAGUUGCUCACAAAAAAACUGGAGAGUGCAGGAUUGGAUCUGCCUGCUAAACAGCUGUAAGCAGAACAGUCUGAUUCUUCACUGAGCUGGUCCUGAAUGAACAGCUUCUCUGCACACAACUGGAGAAUGUGGAGCUUAAAAUGUUUCAGGGUAAUAAAUGAUAUCUCAUGACACACAUUACCUGCCAAGGCUGAAACUCCUGCAUCUCUCUUUCCACCAUUCUCCUAUAUUUGGCUACAGGCAGGAACAUGACAUGUAGAGCAUGUGCUAUGGCAUAGACAGCAGUAUAGAGACUGUAGCUGUGGCCAGACAUGGUCAUCUCAAAAGUAGACGAAGGGAGAUUCUCCAGCUUCUCCUCUCCAGUGCAGGUUCCACUGGCCUGCUCCUCUGUAUUGGAGUUUGGAAAUAAACAGAGAAAUACCUGUGCCCAGAACUGCUUGACAAAGCCAUUUCCAUUUGCCUCAAAAGGAUUCUGUGCCUGAAGAAAGGCUUUGAAUCCUUGUACCACAUUUGAAUGAACUGAAAAGGAGAGGGAACCCUGGGAGGUUUGCAUAUCCAGGCUCAUUCGCAAGGGCGGUGCUGUGAAAUCCAGUUGUGCCGUCAAAAUCCACACUUUGCCAUCAGAUGUCUUAGUCACAUUUUCCAUUUCACCUAGUACUAUCAUUGUCUGCAAGGCAAGUAUGGACUUUGUUCCUCCAUAGACAACCACCACCUUGGCUUUACUUUCCAUAAUAGCUUGAUAAAUUUGGAUCCAGAGGGGAAACAUGUCAUAAUACUCAGCCAAAUAUGCCAUGUUCAGGGUUGUCUCUGAGAAGGCCAAGCAAAUGCCUUUCUGGGAGAGAAGAGGUUUCAGGGUCUGAAUAAAUCUCUCUCCACCUUCACUUUCUCUAGCAAGCAAUCCAACCCACGUCCAACCAAAGUGCAGAAGUAACUCAACAAUCCCAGUGUACUGAUGGGCUUCAUUGGGCACCAUCUUGUAGAAGGAAGUGGAUUGGCUUUGACCACCAUCCUCUGGAGAAAAGGAGCCAUAAGUGAGCUAAAAGGAAAUAAAGGAGCAUCAUCUACAAUUGCAGAAGGACUGGGUAUGUGCGCCCCGGACCUGCCCACCCAGGAGGCAAAAUGAGCCAGUUGCCUUAAGAAGGCAGGUUCCGCAAAGCUGGGAGGAGUGGCAGAUUGCACCCUGUGUUUCUCAGCUUCCACCUCCUUUUCUGCCAUUCCUCCAUGCCCAAUUUUCUGCACUCCUGCUUUCCUCUGCAACCUCUGCCUUUUCUUUCUCCACUUUUUCCUCUAUGCCUUCCUAAUCUGCUGCUUUCCUCUCCCCUGUAUUUUCCACUUUGCUUCACCGCAGCAUUUCAGCUGCUGAUUUCAUGGCGUCUUCCCUUCCCUUCCCUUCCCUUCCCUUCCCUUCUCUUCCCUUCCUCUCUCAGACUACUAACACACAGAACCCCCAUCAAGUGACACAAUGUGUGUGCAGCUGACUCCUGAUAGACAGGCUUCCAGCUUUGCAAGGGAGCAGCUUCAGUCUCCAACCAGUAGGCCAUGGAGCAAACGUGAGAGGUUGUCAGUUGGCAGAAUGGAAUUGGGAUACAUGUUUUUAGGUGUGUAUGGACAAGGAACGGGGGUGAGAUGAGAACUCUUCUGUCAUCACCUUACCUUGUGAAGGGCAGGAUCUCUCUCCUUCAUCUCUCACAACUAUUUCUCUAUUAUACAAAUCCUUUCUUGAAAUGCCCUACGCAACAUCUUACCUGGGGAAUCUUGUAGAUGCCCAAGAUGUUUGCCAGGUAGACGGAGAUAUCCAAGUCCAGUCCCCCAAUAACUGCCGCCAGGUGUUUCUGGUUGUUGCACUUGUAGUUGGGGACAAGUGUGGAGAGAAGGUUCAGAGCAGCCCAGUAGGUCAUCCUUUCAUCGAAGUAACUGUCAUAGAUGUGGAAUCCCAGUGUAAUAUUAGGCAAGAUCUUAGGGUUCUCAUUGAUCUCCUGGACAGCAAAUACCAAGGCCAGAAUAUGCUGGUAGUUCUUUGGCACAAUACUGCAACAAGAAUUUUAUGCUGUAUCAUUGAGAGAUAUACUAUGCAUGUUGUUCAGGGGGCUCUUGAUAAUUUUGCCCUAAAUUACACAUACCUGCAGAACAAUUUCAACUAAAAGAGCAGAAUUUCAGCUUAAUGUAGGACUCAUUCAGACUUCCCCACUCCUGUCAUUUUUCUGCAGGAAAAUCAGAUCUUUACCACUCAAUUGGAACUCAAACCUCCCUCAUAACGACUCCCAAAUGACAGUUAACUGACAUUUAUUCACAGAUCACUACCUUCAGCUCAAUAUAGUCAGAAUGUAUCUAAUCCAUGCCCUGUCUAUAACUGUUAAAGACAAUCGUCUAGCCUGACUUGGAUGAGAACAUCAGGGGUUAUUUGAGCAUCACCUCAAAGGAGAGGUGAGCCUUGUGUAAGACACUUCAAACGAGAGUUUCUGUGGUGAAGAUUAAGGAGAGAGAAGGGCUUUCCAUCUUAAACUAGGGAGGUUUAAUCUUUGAGUCCUCCUCUUGUUAAACUCCUUGGAAGACAUUUGGUGGGAUGUGGGGAAGAGAGAACACAUCAACAAGACCAGGCUCUCUCAUCUCACUGACACAUUCAGAUCUGCAUUUCCCUUCAGUGGAAGUAAAUCCCACUGAAAUCAGGGGAACUAGCUUCUGAGGAGGCUUGGUUAGAGCUGGGGGAUAUUUCAGUAUCAUCUGAUUAUUUGACAUUUGAUGUCUUUACUGGGUAUUAAGGCGCUGAUGGAUAGUUAGCCUUUCUUUGAAUUCUUCUUUGUCAAAAACAGCAAAGAGAUGAGAAGCAAGUCCGCCAACAAUAAGAUGACCAGGUUGGUAGUAUUCAUGUGGAAUUCUGGACAGAUCAUGGAUGGUGCAACUCAUGGUAUGUUUGACCUGCAAAUGUGGCAGAUGAAAGAGAAGGGGCAGAAUAAACAGCAGCAUAUUGAAGCACCUAUUCUUUCCCAUCAAACAGCCUUAUUUCCAUCCAGCACAUGAACUUUGCUUCACAACCAAUCUCAGUACAAUAUUCUGCCUUGUCACCAAAGACACUUCUCUAAAAAUUCACAGAUUAAAAUCCUAUUUUAUAACUUGAUUAAGAGAAAGGUGAAAAUCCUUCCUCUUUCUCUGUCCUCUCGCUUGCUUAGAAUGCCAGGAAGAGGUUACAAUACCCAUGUUUUGAUAUUGGUUAGUAUUCUCUGGAAAUCUACUGAGACAUUAUCCAAGGGAGACUUAGCCACGCUGAGAGUGAUGAUUAUAGGUGAGAUAAUAACAAGCUCUCUUUACAUCAGGAACAUCAGAAAAUGUUCAAACAUAAUAAUAACAACCCUGUUUCUGAUGUUUCAUUCAAAGUUCUUUCUGACUGUUUAUGGGACAAAAAAAGGCCAUGCAGAAUUAACAGCAAUGAGAAAUUCAGUGGGCCAGUCUCCUACCAAUGUUGACCAGUGAAAAUGAUUAAUCUGACCUCCUAAAGUUUCCCACCUGAGCACCACUUCAUUAGUUUUCUGACAAUUAUACCGAGACGAAAGAAUGGUGAAAAGGACAACUAUUUGUGUUCCUGAUAGAAAUUAUAAGAAUAAGAAUAAGAAUAAGAAUAAGAAUAAGAAUAAGAAUAAGAAUAUAUUAUUUAUACCCCACCCACUCUGUGUGGCUUCCAACAGAAUAUUAAAAUACAAUAAUCUAUUAAACAUUUAAAGCUUCCCUAAACAGGGCUGCCUUCAGAUGUCUUCUAAAAGUCUGGUAGUUGUUUUUCUCUUUGACAUCUGAUGGGAGGGCAUUCCACAGGGCGGGUACCACUACCAAGAAGGCUCUCUGCCUGGUUCCCUGUAGCUUUGUUUCUCACAGUGAGGGAACUGCCAGAAGGCCCGCAGAGCUGGACCUCAGUGUCCGGGCAGAACGAUGGGAGUGGAGACGUUUCUUCAGGUAUUUUGGACGGAUGCCCUUUAGGACUUUAAAGGUCAGCACCAACACUUUGAAUUGUGCUCGGAAACGUACUGGGAGCCAGUGUAGGUCUUUCAAGAACUGUGUUAUGUGGUCUCGGCGGCCGCUCCCAGUCACCAGUCUAGCUGCUGCAUUCUGGAUUAGUUGUAGUUUUUAGGUCACCUUCAACGCAUGAGGGAAGAGAACAAAACCCUGAGGCACCCCACAAGUGUAAGACCAGGGGUCUGAACACUCACCUCCCCCCCCCCCACUUUCUGAACACAGCCCAGGAGGAAGGAGGGAACCACUGUAUAACAGUGCCCCCAACUCCCAGCCCCUCUAGACGGUCCAGAAGGAUGUUAUGGUCGAUGGUGUCAAAAGCCACUGAGAGAUCCAGCAGAACUAGGAAACAGCUCUCACCUUUGUCCCUAGCCCGUCGGAGAUCAUGGACCAGUGCACCCUAGGCAGUUUCAGUCCCAUGAUGAGGCCUGAAUCCCGACUGGAAGGGAUCCAAAUGGUUCGCUUCUUCCAGGCGUGCCUGGAGUUGUUCAGCAACCACUCGCUCAAUCACCUUGCCCAAGAAUGGAAGAUUUGAGACUGGGCGAUAGUUGGCUAUAUUGGCAGCAUCUAAAGAUGGUUUUUAAAGAAGCAGUUUGAUAACCGCCUCUUUCAGCGGGUCUGGGAAGGCUCCCUCACAGAGAGUAGCAUUCACCACCCCACGAAGCCCAUCACCCAGCCCUUCCCGCCUAGCUUUUAUAAGCCAAGACGGGCAGGGAUCAAGGAGACAGGUGGUCAGUUUCACUCGUCCAAACAGCCUGUCCACAUCCUUGGAGGAAAAGCACCUCACAACUGGUUGGUGGGACAGUAUAUAGAAGUAAUAAAUAAAAAGUAGUGUGUGGUGGUAUUAUAUUUACUAAUAAAAUGGAGCUUAAUUUCACUCAUGUUCAAAAUGCUUUUACUCCAAAAUAUUCAUUCAGAUGCAUUCUGCCCCAUUUAUUAACAAUAAACCCAUUUAAAAAAACCAAAAUUGUUAUGCAUUGAAUUUUAAGUUUAAAAAUCCCCACGAGAAAUGGUCUAGUGCAUAUUGCCCAUGACUACAGGAAUAAUAACCAAAUAAUUUAAUUAAUACCCAGAAAUGGAUCGAGAGAGCUUGAGAGUUCUCAUGGCCUGUGAGGGCAGAGACUGGAGGUGCAGCAGGGGGUUGUUUACACUACUCAGCCCCCCCCCCACCUGACAGCUAAUGUGCAUAGAAGAGCAGCAGAAGCAGCAACUUUCCCCACACAUCCCACACUCAGCCCCCAAAAUGCCAGAUGUGGGUAUUUUAGGUGCAGUAUUUUUGAUCUGGAAUGGAGAGAGAGCAGCAGAGAAGACAUUCAAAGGGUUUUAGAGGGUGCUCCCCACUUACCCAAUCUUCAUUUAUGUGUGGGGGCACUUGAACAUAACCCCCAAGUAAGUGGGAUUCGCUGUACUGAAAUCUCUGACACUAAUCAUGACAGUAGCAACUCGACAGAAACUUUACUGAGAGGAAAAAAUCUAGAAAGGAAUGAGACUUUUAAAUAAUAAUAAUAAUGCCUCUCAAUGUAUUAUUUUUUCUGUUCAGUUUCUAAGCAAUUACCCUCUGAGGUUCUAGUCAGGUCUCAAUAUUUUAUGGUACUGAUGGCAGUUUUUUGGUUUCCAAAUAAUGCUUAAGGUUAAAACAAGAUAAGGGGCUCCUGUUUCAGAGAGACCAUAUUUUGGUUUUAAAAGAAAUUGCACAUAACAAUUGUAACAUGUAAAAUAUAACACAAUUUAAUGGUGCGAAUAAAGAGAGAUUACAUUGCUCAUAUUUUGGUAGGAAAACCCCCACAAAGAUGAAAAGAUAAUUCAUUAUUUCCGCUUUAUUAACUGCUCCUUGCUGUUCAGUUCAGGCCUCAACACAAUGAUGUAGCAUUUGGGGGCAAAGAUGGAACCAAGUAAACCAGCACUGGAGGCCAAGAUGGAGAAGAUCUCCACAGCCACCAUGUAUUUCCCCUUGGUGCUCAGGUAGACCGGAACAAAGGAGAUCCAAACACUACAAAACAAGAACAUGCUGAAGGUGAUGAAUUUGGCCUCAUUGAAGCUCUCAGGCAGUUUCCUGGCAAAAAAGGCCACAACAAAGCUGACAAUGGCCAAAAAGCCCAUGUAGCCCAGGACACAGUAAAAUAGGGCAACUGACCCUUCGUUGCAGCCUAGAAUGAUUUCCCUCAUCACAGAGUGC
RNAcentral lists this long non-coding RNA (12509 nucleotides) under Podarcis lilfordi (Lilford's wall lizard). The record is from RNAcentral. Lineage: Eukaryota; Metazoa; Chordata; Lepidosauria; Squamata; Lacertidae.